This is a long non-coding RNA of Manis pentadactyla (Chinese pangolin), 3047 nucleotides long. RefSeq lists it as uncharacterized. Lineage: Eukaryota; Metazoa; Chordata; Mammalia; Pholidota; Manidae. The record is from RefSeq and is a predicted model, not a curated record. The transcript has 3 exons.
GCGGGCGCAGGAGGCCGCCCGCGAUGCCCGCUGGAAUAGAGGGCAGAAGUAAUUACUAGGAGUGCGAAACGCGGCCCAUCCUUAGCGCAGAACCGGGCGACUGCCCGGGGCACAGCAGACCGCUCCCACCGCGGCCUUGUCUCCCGGCUCUGCCUCUUGGAGGCUUUGGCUGAAAAUCUGAGACAAUCUCAUCCCACAUCCUGUGACGUGGGCAACGGAGUCUGAGGAGGAGGAAGACAUGAAGGAGGGGAAUACACUUACAUUUUUCUGCACAAUUUGCCUAGGACUCUAGGGUCUGCCUGAGCCCCUGUAAACAAUCUUCAAGUGGUGACUUCGGCUUAUUGGCUUGUUUGGACUGUGGCUGCCUGAACUGACCUGGAGCUGGUGCUGACGGGCCCUAAUGAGGGAGCUUUGUCUCUUUGUAUCAUCGGUAGUGGAUUUGCAGCCCCACUAAGUCAGUCUACCUCUUUCCUGCUUAGUAUUAGAGAUACUUUGUUUUCUAUCAGUUGCUGUCUAGUAUUCUUUCAAAAUGAGCUUAAAUAUUUAGCACCUAAGUCUGGGUGUUAUUUUCUCCUCUAAGUUACGUCCCUUAAAGGAAAUCCAUUGUAAGAUGAUAAUGCCUGUAUGCUACUUCCAAAAUGACCAUUUAGUGUAUUCCUCUUUGAUAUAUGCUCUUUGUGCACAUUGUGGCAUACCUUUGAGAUGUCAUGUGGGAAAUCCUGGGGCUUAUGUUUUUAAAAAAUUCUUUAUUUGAUAUUUUCAUUACAGCAGUAGCCCAUGCUUGUACAUAACAAGCAGUACUAUGGAACAAACAUACAUAAAAGACAAAGCUAAUUAUCCCACCUCUGUCCCAAUACCAUCCAUUUACUGCCGCUCCCCUGUUAUAUCUUGUUAGUACAUAUACAAAUAUAUAUUCAGAUAUGUUGGGGAUUUGCUAAUCUGUUAUCAUAUAAAUAUAACCAUGUUCCAUACAGUUCCAGGUUUUUGAGGAUUCCAUACUGUGUCCUGAUUUUCUUUUAAAUAUUCUCAGUCCAUGCAUUUCAACUUACUUUUUUCAAUCGACAGUUUAUCAUAGACUUCUCUGCAAGUUAGGGUACAUAUCUAUAACAAUAUUCUUUAAUUUCUUUGUACAUAAUCUCACUCUCUCAUACACACACAUUAUUUUACAUAGAAGAGUUCAUUCUGUGAAUACUUGGGUAUGUUCAUUUUGCUUAGACUUUCCAUUUUUUUAAUUUAUUUGCAUCCUCUCCCUCUCUCUUCCCCUUCUGCCCUAUUCAUCUGCCCUACCAUUUUCUCCUCCAGGGAAUUUGUAUGAACAACAUGAUGAAUAUUUUUUCAUGUUUUUCUCCUUUUCUUGUUUGUUUUAUAAAAAUGAGAUUAUAUUUUAUACUCUGCUCUCAUACUUAGUUUUCUCAUGCAAUAAAACUUCAUUGAAAUCCCUUUGUGUUGACUGGCACAUGCAGUCCUCUUUGUGGCUACAUAAUAUUUCACAGCGUGGAGGCAUGUAAUAUACUCACCUGUGCCUCUCUUAGUGGGUAUUCACUUCAGUUCAAAUUGUUGUUUUCACUAUGAAUGAUACUGCAAUGAACAUCAUUAUACAUAUACCCUGGGAAUUUUAUUUCUAGGAAAUAGAUUCCCACAAGGAUUAUAGGGUUUAAGACAUGUGCAUAAUUUUAUGUUUAAUGAAAAUUGCCAGAUUCUUUUCCAAAAGACUUCACAUUACCACCAGAAAUUUAUAAGAGUAAUUAUUUCCCCUAGUUCUAAUCAGAAAUAGGUGUUAUCACCUCUUUAAACUUUUGACCAUCUAAUGAAAAAGUGAGUACUUUAUUGUUAUUUUAAUUUGCAUUUCCCCGACCACUAGUGAGUCUAAGCAUCCUUGCAUAUAUUUUUUGACAUUUUGCAUUUGCUCUUCUAUAAAUGCAACAUAUUCUGCCCAUUUGGGGGCUUUGUGUAUAUGGUGGUGGUUUCAACCUUAGCAAGUUGUUGUAGUUCUUUCUGUAUUGUGUCUAUUUGCCCUUUUCUUGUCACAAGCACUGUGAAUAUGUUUUCCUCUUUCAUCACUUAUUUGUUGAAUUUGGAUUUGGUGUAAUUUGCCCUUCAAAUGUUUUUAAUUUUUUAGAUUGCCAAAUAUGUCUUUAUGAAAACUGGCAUCUGGAUCUCCUCUUAGUUGAGAAAGUCUUUCACUCUAAGUUCAUAUGUUGUUGCCUAGUAUUCUUGUAAGAUUUUUAUUGUUUUAUAAUUUAUGUGGUAUGACACAGAGUAUGGCUAUGUUUUUUUCCAGAUGGAUAACAGUCAUGCCAGCACCAUAUGGUGAUAAACUAUUCUUUUCUUCCAAAUGGAAAUACCCCCUUUGUCUUAUAUUAAAUUCACAUAUGUCCCGGGGUCUAUUUCUGGGUUCUGAUAUGUCCUAUAGACCUGACUGUCUGAUCCCAGACCAGAGCCACAGGGAGUUGAUCAUAGUGGCCUUGUGUUUGCAUUCUGCUAUCUCCUGAAGCAUAUUCUCUGUCACCAUUCAUUUUUAUAUGCCUUUUAUGUUCUUAAGCUUUAUUCUUCCAUAUGAGUUCUAAGAUAUUUUGAUCCAACAUUCCUCCCCCUUUUUAAAAAAUCAAAUAUGGUUAAAAUUUUAAUUGGAAUUGCAUUGACUUUACAUCUUCAGUUUGAGAGCUCUGUCAUUUAAAAAAUGUCUUCCCAUCCAAGAACAUGGUAAAUUGUUCCACUUGUUCAGAUCAUGUUUUACGUCCUUUGGUAAGAUUUUUACUUUUCUGCAUUUAGGUCCUAUGUCUUUUUAAAAAUAUGUGGCUACAUAGCUCCAAUAACAAAUGGUAUUAAUUUCUUUUAUAUUCAAUGCCCUUUGAAAUGCUAAAAAAACUCAGAAUACAGAUCAUAUAUAUGUUUUGUUAUAUACCUAAGUUUAAUUUUCUUUGGAAAUUGUAUUGUGUAUGUAAAAUUGAUUGUAAAUGAUAUUGUGUUUUAAAUGCCGUUGUCCAUGUUUUCACUGCUAACAUGUAGAAACGCAUUUGAGAUUUUUUGUGUGUACUGGUCUUGUA